AUUGAACGCUGGCGGCAUGCUUUACACAUGCAAGUCGAACGGUAACAGGCCGCAAGGUGCUGACGAGUGGCGAACGGGUGAGUAAUGCAUCGGAACGUGCCCAGUCGUGGGGGAUAACUACUCGAAAGAGUAGCUAAUACCGCAUACGAUCUAUGGAUGAAAGCGGGGGACCGUAAGGCCUCGCGCGAUUGGAGCGGCCGAUGUCAGAUUAGGUAGUUGGUGGGGUAAAGGCUCACCAAGCCAACGAUCUGUAGCUGGUCUGAGAGGACGACCAGCCACACUGGGACUGAGACACAGCCCAGACUCCUACGGGAGGCAGCAGUGGGGAAUUUUGGACAAUGGGCGCAAGCCUGAUCCAGCAAUGCCGCGUGCAGGAAGAAGGCCUUCGGGUUGUAAACUGCUUUUGUACGGAACGAAACGGCUCUGGUUAAUACCCGGGGCUAAUGACGGUACCGUAAGAAUAAGCACCGGCUAACUACGUG
This 482-nucleotide ribosomal RNA is filed under the name uncultured bacterium. RNAcentral's name for it is "partial 16S ribosomal RNA". It matches the Rfam family "Bacterial small subunit ribosomal RNA", at positions 30 to 507 of the family's 1533-position model. The record is from RNAcentral.